AUGUCAUCAGUUGAGUCUCUAGGCCUAUUUCUGUGGAUAGUUGGUUCCCCUCAAUCUGUAAGACAAGCAGAAAACAGAUUUGUUAGGUUGUUGGACACAAUUGUAAGGAAGUUUGAUAAGGUUUUGGCCUACCUGAUCAAGCUAGCAAAAGACAUCAUCAAGCCAACAGAUCCUCAAUUCAAAACUGUGCAUUUAAAACUAAGAUCUAGAAAGUAUGCACCAUUUAUGGACAAUUGCAUUGGAGCAAUAGAUGGGACACACAUACAAGUUGUGGUACCAGGCCACUGAUGUCCAGCAUAGGAAUAGACAUAAGGACAAGAGUCGGAAUGUGAUGCGUGUGUGUGUGACUGUGGUAUGAGAUUCACAUUUGUCCUAGCUGGUUGGCCAGGAUCAGUGCAUGACAUGAGGGUCUUCAAUGAUGCCCGAUCCAGAUUUGGUGACAAGUUUCCAAAACCACCACCUGAAAAGUUUUAUCUUGUGGUCUCAGGAUACCCAAAUAGACCGGGUUAUCUUGCACCAUACAAGGGUUUAACCUAUCAUUUCCAGGAGUACCGUGAUGGCACAAUGCCUAGAGGAAAAAAAGGAACACUUCAAUUUCAGCCAUUCUUCACUUAG
This 615-nucleotide ribosomal RNA is filed under the name Triticum aestivum (bread wheat). RNAcentral describes it as "partial small subunit ribosomal RNA". The record is from RNAcentral. Lineage: Eukaryota; Viridiplantae; Streptophyta; Magnoliopsida; Poales; Poaceae.